RNAcentral lists this ribosomal RNA (482 nucleotides) under uncultured bacterium. RNAcentral's name for it is "partial 16S ribosomal RNA". It matches the Rfam family "Bacterial small subunit ribosomal RNA", at positions 28 to 523 of the family's 1533-position model. The record is from RNAcentral.
GACGAACGCUGGCGGCGUGCUUAACACAUGCAAGUCGAACGAUGAAGCCCAGCUUGCUGGGUGGAUUAGUGGCGAACGGGUGAGUAACACGUGGGCAACCUGCCCCAAACUCUGGGAUAACUCCUCGAAAGAGGUGCUAAUACCGGACACGAACUGGACAGACAUCCGUACCAGUUGGCAAGUUUUUCGGUUUGGGAUGGGCCCGCGGCCUAUCAGCUUGUUGGUGAGGUAACGGCUCACCAAGGCUACGACGGGUAACCGGCCUGAGAGGGCGACCGGUCACACUGGGACUGAGACACGGCCCAGACUCCUACGGGAGGCAGCAGUGGGGAAUAUUGCGCAAUGGGCGAAAGCCUGACGCAGCGACGCCGCGUGAGGGAUGAAGGUCUUCGGAUCGUAACCCUCUUUCAGUAGGGACGAAGCGAAAGUGACGGUACCUAAAGAAGAAGCACCGGCUAACUACGUGCCAGCAGCCGCCGUAA